GCCAACUUAUAUCUUAUAUUCAUUAUUUUUUAAGGAGUCUGAGGUUCCAAAUGAGAUUCGAGAUGCUUUACUACAAAAGAAAUACAUGUUCAAGAUUAAGGUCCCUCUUGGUGAAGGGUGGAGAUAUAAUAAAGCCUAUAGUGUCUCAACUCUAGCAACAGACCCUAAUGUUGUUGCUACAUACUCUGCUAAGUGCUCGGACAGCCAUCAAUCUAAUUCAGUUUCCAUGCUUGAGAGUUCAAAUGAGGUUAUGGAUACAAUUGGAGAACAAACACCUGUUGCUGCUCAGUCAAGGCUUGGAGAUGAGAGUGAAUGGAUUGAUGACGGAGUAACUAAAAGAAGUCUAAUGGAUGAAUUUUCUUCCACUAAACCAGCAAAGAAAGCUAAAAUUGAAAUCAAGCAAGAGAAAGACUAGAUGUUGCAGCAAUUAGUCUCUCUUUUUUUUGUCUAAGGCUGUCACUCUUUGAUAUUCGGGCAAAUAUCCUAAAUACAGCCUG
RNAcentral lists this long non-coding RNA (497 nucleotides) under Salvia miltiorrhiza (redroot sage). RNAcentral describes it as "long non-coding RNA (SMIL_LNC012976)". The record is from RNAcentral. Lineage: Eukaryota; Viridiplantae; Streptophyta; Magnoliopsida; Lamiales; Lamiaceae.